RNAcentral lists this ribosomal RNA (493 nucleotides) under uncultured bacterium. Its description in RNAcentral is "bacterial SSU rRNA". It matches the Rfam family "Bacterial small subunit ribosomal RNA", at positions 903 to 1397 of the family's 1533-position model. The record is from RNAcentral.
AAAUGAAUAGACGGGGGCCCGCACAAGCAGUGGAGUAUGCGGUUUAAUUCGACGCAACGCGAAGAACCUUACCAGGGCUUGACAUGUACAGGAAUAUUUAAGAGAUUAAAUAGUCUCUUCGGAGACUUGUACACAAGUGGUGCAUGGUUGUCGUCAGCUCGUGUCGUGAGAUGUUGGGUUAAGUCCCGCAACGAGCGCAACCCCUAUGUUUAGUUACUAACAUUAAGUUGAGGACUCUAAACAGACUGCCAGUGAUAAACUGGAGGAAGGUGGGGAUGACGUCAAAUCAUCAUGCUCUUUAUGUCCUGGGCUACACGCGUACUACAAUGGGGAGACCAAAGGGAAGCGAAACUGCGAAGUUGAGCAAAACCCAAAAGCUCUUCUAAGUUCGGAUUGCAGAUUGAAACUCAUCUGCAUGAAGCCGGAAUUGCUAGUAAUGGUAGGUCAUCAUACUACCGUGAAUACGUUCUCGGGCCUUGUACACACCGCCCGU